This 468-nucleotide ribosomal RNA is filed under the name uncultured bacterium. RNAcentral describes it as "partial 16S ribosomal RNA". It matches the Rfam family "Bacterial small subunit ribosomal RNA", at positions 28 to 507 of the family's 1533-position model. The record is from RNAcentral.
GACGAACGCUGGCGGCGUGCUUAACACAUGCAAGUCGAACGGAAAGGCCCUGCUUUUGUGGGGUGCUCGAGUGGCGAACGGGUGAGUAACACGUGAGUAACCUGCCCUUGACUUUGGGAUAACUUCAGGAAACUGGGGCUAAUACCGGAUAGGAGCUCCUGCUGCAUGGUGGGGGUUGGAAAGUUUCGGCGGUUGGGGAUGGACUCGCGGCUUAUCAGCUUGUUGGUGGGGUAGUGGCUUACCAAGGCUUUGACGGGUAGCCGGCCUGAGAGGGUGACCGGGCACAUUGGGACUGAGAUACGGCCCAGACUGCUACGGGAGGCAGCAGUGGGGAAUAUUGCACAAUGGGCGGAAGCCUGAUGCAGCAACGCCGCGUGCGGGAUGACGGCCUUCGGGUUGUAAACCGCUUUCGACUGUGACGAAGCGUGAGUGACGGUAAUGGGUAAAGAAGCACCGGCUAACUACGUG